AGAGUUUGAUCCUGGCUCAGAUUGAACGCUGGCGGCAGGCUUAACACAUGCAAGUCGAACGGUAGCAGGAGGAAGCUUGCUUUCUUGCUGACGAGUGGCGGACGGGUGAGUAAUGCUUGGGAAUCUGGCUUAUGGAGGGGGAUAACUACUGGAAACGGUAGCUAAUACCGCGUAAUAUCGAGAGAUUAAAGGGUGGGACUUUCGGGCCACCUGCCAUAAGAUGAGCCCAAGUGGGAUUAGGUAGUUGGUGGGGUAAAGGCCUACCAAGCCUGCGAUCUCUAGCUGGUCUGAGAGGAUGGCCAGCCACACUGGAACUGAGACACGGUCCAGACUCCUACGGGAGGCAGCAGUGGGGAAUAUUGCACAAUGGGGGGAACCCUGAUGCAGCCAUGCCGCGUGAAUGAAGAAGGCCUUCGGGUUGUAAAGUUCUUUCGGUGAUGAGGAAGGUGUUUUGUUUAAUAGACAAGGCAAUUGACGUUAGUCACAGAAGAAGCACCGGCUAACUCCGUGCCAGCAGCCGCGGUAAUACGGAGGGUGCGAGCGUUAAUCGGAAUAACUGGGCGUAAAGGGCACGCAGGCGGAUUGUUAAGUGAGAUGUGAAAGCCCCGAGCUUAACUUGGGAAUUGCAUUUCAGACUGGCAGUCUAGAGUAUUUUAGGGAGGGGUAGAAUUCCACGUGUAGCGGUGAAAUGCGUAGAGAUGUGGAGGAAUACCGAAGGCGAAGGCAGCCCCUUGGGAAUAUACUGACGCUCAUGUGCGAAAGCGUGGGGAUCAAACAGGAUUAGAUACCCUGGUAGUCCACGCUGUAAACGAUGAUUACUAGGUGUUGGGGGUCAAACCUCAGCGCCCAAGCUAACGCGAUAAGUAAUCCGCCUGGGGAGUACGUACGCAAGUAUGAAACUUAAAGGAAUUGACG
Molecule: ribosomal RNA, 915 nt
Filed under: uncultured bacterium
Lineage: Bacteria
Description: bacterial SSU rRNA
Rfam family: Bacterial small subunit ribosomal RNA
Source: RNAcentral